This 71-nucleotide transfer RNA is filed under the name Danio rerio (zebrafish). It matches the Rfam family "tRNA". From Rfam's summary of the family: Transfer RNA (tRNA) molecules are approximately 80 nucleotides in length. Lineage: Eukaryota; Metazoa; Chordata; Actinopteri; Cypriniformes; Danionidae. The record is from Rfam by way of RNAcentral.
GUAUUGGUGGUUCAGUGGUAGAAUUCUUGCCUGCCAUGCAGGAGACCCGGGUCUGAUUCCCGACCAAUGCA